UGGGGAAUAUUGCACAAUGGGCGGAAGCCUGAUGCAGCGACGCCGCGUGAGGGAUGACGGCCUUCGGGUUGUAAACCUCUUUCAGUAGGGACGAAGCGUAAGUGACGGUACCUGCAGAAGAAGCACCGGCUAACUACGUGCCAGCAGCCGCGGUAAUACGUAGGGUGCGAGCGUUGUCCGGAAUUACUGGGCGUAAAGAGCUCGUAGGCGGUUUGUCACGUCGUCUGUGAAAUCCUAGGGCUUAACCCUGGACGUGCAGGCGAUACGGGCUGACUUGAGUACUGUAGGGGUAACUGGAAUUCCUGGUGUAGCGGUGAAAUGCGCAGAUAUCAGGAGGAACACCGAUGGCGAAGGCAGGUUACUGGGCAGUUACUGACGCUGGGGAGCGAAAGCAUGGGUAGCGAACAGG
RNAcentral lists this ribosomal RNA (409 nucleotides) under Verrucomicrobiota bacterium. RNAcentral describes it as "Verrucomicrobia bacterium partial 16S ribosomal RNA". It matches the Rfam family "Bacterial small subunit ribosomal RNA", at positions 355 to 776 of the family's 1533-position model. The record is from RNAcentral. Lineage: Bacteria; Pseudomonadati; Verrucomicrobiota.